GAUGAACGCUGGCGGCGUGCUUAACACAUGCAAGUCGAACGAAGCACUUAUCUUUGAUUCUUCGGAUGAAGAGGUUUGUGACUGAGUGGCGGACGGGUGAGUAACGCGUGGGUAACCUGCCUCAUACAGGGGGAUAACAGUUAGAAAUGACUGCUAAUACCGCAUAAGACCACGGAGCCGCAUGGCUCAGUGGGAAAAACUCCGGUGGUAUGAGAUGGACCCGCGUCUGAUUAGGUAGUUGGUGGGGUAACGGCCUACCAAGCCAACGAUCAGUAGCCGACCUGAGAGGGUGACCGGCCACAUUGGGACUGAGACACGGCCCAAACUCCUACGGGAGGCAGCAGUGGGGAAUAUUGCACAAUGGGGGAAAACCUGAUGCAGCGACGCCGCGUGAGCGAAGAAGUAUUUCGGUAUGUAAAGCUCUAUCAGCAGGGAAGAAAAUGACGGUACCUGACGAAGAAGCACCGGCUAAAUACGUG
This 479-nucleotide ribosomal RNA is filed under the name uncultured bacterium. RNAcentral describes it as "partial 16S ribosomal RNA". It matches the Rfam family "Bacterial small subunit ribosomal RNA", at positions 28 to 507 of the family's 1533-position model. The record is from RNAcentral.